Molecule: ribosomal RNA, 225 nt
Filed under: Triticum aestivum (bread wheat)
Lineage: Eukaryota; Viridiplantae; Streptophyta; Magnoliopsida; Poales; Poaceae
Description: partial small subunit ribosomal RNA
Source: RNAcentral
AUGAGAGUGAUUGCAUAUGGUGUUCCCGCUGACUACGCAGAUGAAUAUCUUUGCAUUGGAGAAGAUGCUACCAUCAAAUGCGCCCGGUUCUUUGCGAAGACAAUGAUCCGUGUUUUCGGCCUGGAGUACCUUCGAGCUCCAAAUGAGGAAGACACAUAGAAUCUCAUGGCAAUGAACGAAGAAAGGGGAUGGCCGGGCAUGCUAGGUAGUAUUGAUUGGAGGUAG